UCAUCUUUUAAUGGACACUUAGGCUGCUUUUAGAUCUUGGCUAUUAUAAAUAAUGCUACAAUAAACAGGGAUGCAUAU
Long non-coding RNA from Mustela erminea (ermine), 78 nucleotides. RefSeq lists it as uncharacterized. The transcript has 3 exons. The record is from RefSeq and is a predicted model, not a curated record. NCBI's taxonomy places the organism in Eukaryota, Metazoa, Chordata, Mammalia, Carnivora, Mustelidae.